This 4938-nucleotide long non-coding RNA is filed under the name Homo sapiens (human). RNAcentral's name for it is "long non-coding RNA NONHSAT138373.2". Lineage: Eukaryota; Metazoa; Chordata; Mammalia; Primates; Hominidae. The record is from RNAcentral.
ACUCGCAAUAGUUCCCAUGGUUUCCUUUGCUCCCAGCGGUUGCGCGGGCUGGGUUUUUGGAGCAAAGGCAACGGAUACUGCUGAGGCUCCUGAGAAUGUCCCGUUUUCGAGGCUGCAGUAGCUCCGGUGUCCGGUUCUGCAGUGCCGAGAGGGAGGCCUCGGGCUCCGGGCGGGGGAAUGUGUUGCAGUUUGUCCAAGAGCCCCAAGCCCAGCAAAGCCGCCCGUUCCCCGCUGGGGCGCAACUCUCACUGGAACUCUUGUUCUCUGACUGGGGAAUGGAAUGGGCUCAGCCAAGGCUCCCGAAACCAGCCCUGCCGCUCCCAGUUGUGGUCGCAUUCUCAAGAGCGGCUGACUGCGCCGUGGACCAUCACUUUCGCUUCUGCCUGCUCUUGCGCCUAUUGCGGCAACUACUCACGCUCCUACGGGACGAGGAGAGGGAGGUGAAUCCGUGGCAGAGGUGAGUGAGAUCAUGGCUGCACCUUCGCUCUAAGGAGCCCACUUGCCUUCAGCGAGUCCGCUUCAUCUUUCAGCCCGCUUCUGACCAUUUGCAUUUCGCUCCUUCUACCUUCACCGCGCCCAUUUUCAUCCUUUUCUGCAAUCUAUCCACGACAGCUCCUUGUUCGCCCCUCUCCUCUCUCACAUUCUCACUCAUCCUUGGGCCCCUUUGUAGGGUGCCCCGGUCUCCCUCCACCCUCUUUCGCCUCUGAUCUCGGAGCAGACACGGCUAAGGGUCACAGACCUACGUAUAGCAUUUAUUUGUUUUGUGUUAUCGUUCGUGAACAUAUUUUUAUUCUCCACUAGACUGAGCUCGUGGAAAGGAGGACCCCUAUUUUAUUCAUUACAGAAUUUGCAGUGCCUGGCACUUAAUAGGGGCUCAAUCUACUGAAAGUGUUGUGUGUUGAGUGAAUGAUCGGUUUGAGAUCCUAACAGGCUAACUAAGUGGAAAUUCCUUGUAGGGAGUUGGAAAGGGUUGAGAUUAAGGGUUUAAAUUGGAAAGGAGAAAUACCUUCCUCUGAGACAAGAUAACUGGAUGAAUGUAGGCAAAGUGAUGUGCUAAACUGCAGAUGUGGCUACCUUCAGGAAGGUCUUAAGUGGUCUCAAUCUUGACCUUGAAGAAUGAGAGGAGAGUGAGAUGAGUUUUCCUCUAAUGAGAGUGAAUAUUGGAGUGGGAAGUAGAUGGUUUGAGAAGGAAAAUAAUUAUAAUUAUUGCUGUGUAAGUACUCAUAUCAAAUGUUUAUUGAAUGUGUCAGGUACUAUACUGAGUGCCUUACAUGCACUACGGUUAAAAAAUGAGAAAUUUUAAAACAUUACAGGUAUUGAGGGGUAGGUUGAAAUUCCAACAGGUGGGAGAUGUCUUGAUGAGUCUUUUUCUUCCACUAGUGGGAUGUAAUAAAGCAUAGUGAUGAGAAGGACAGCCUCUGGAUUGAGACUUUCUGAGUUUGAAGCCUUGCUUUGCUACUUAAUACCUAUGUGACCUUGGUAACCUCUCCAAGCUUCAUUAUUUUUUCACCUGUAAAAGGGGGAUACAAAUAGUACUGACGUUUUUAGGGUUAUUGUAAUGAUGUAGUGCCUUGAACGUAAUAAGCAUUUCACAGGUGUUGGUUAUUAGAGUUUCAUGCCUGGGAGCAGAGGAAGUAAAAACAGUCCUGAGUUAGGUUACAGAUACACAUUUUUUGCCCAUGUGGGAGAGGUGAGUGAAACUACUGCACCUGUCCUCUGAGGAGCGCUCCUGCCUUUGGGAUGGAAAGGUCCUCCCAGUUUGUGUCAAUCAAAAAACUUCUUAUUUUAGAAUCCUAACCAAAACAUAUAAGAACAACUUGGGUAAAAUUUGCAUUUGUGCACAUAGAAGAUAAAUAAUUUAUCUUAAGGCACAGAUAAAACCAGGUAGCAGCAGGGAGUGUUAUAAUUGUCUGCUAUUCACCAUGUUGAUGAGGGAAGGAUUCCCACCCUUUGUGUUAUGGAGUAGCUGAACACAGGACAGAUGAGAUCAACAGCAGUUUAUUAAUCACAUAUGUUCACAGCUGGAAUGGGAGAGAACACAGCGUGCCACGAAGGGCCACACCGAGGUUGCUGUUGGUAAGACAGUGAAUAAUCAGGGGCUGUGGGAGGUAGACUUUGUGGUAUCAAGAAAUUGAGGUAAUACCUGCUUUCCCUUGGAAGGAUAUGAUUGGCUUGUUUGAAUAAUUCCACAAGCUGACAAUGUACUAAAAUCUGCUACCCAGAGAUAAGCUGGAACUGCGUCUGGUCUCUUUGAGAAGGAGGGUCAUUUGGCUAGGGGACCUUAUUUGCAGGAGCAGAAUGGAGAGGAGAAUUCGCAGUAAGGCCAUUGGGAGCCCUCCUGGUUUCCCCAAUUGUCAAGGUAGUACACAAUAUUGGGCCUUAAUUUUGUGCCUCACACCACAAAGACUGUGUGUCUUUAUAGUCUGGCAGGCAUCCUUGGUCCCUAUACUCAUAUUCCAAGAACUGUUAGACGUAUGUUUACUUUUUGAUUACCUGCUCUUGAAAUGGGAAACCCUCUGAGACUAACUCUGUAUACUUAUAAUACCUUUUCCCUGAAUAAAGAAGUAAAAAAUAUUUAUUCAAACAAUGAAAUCAAACAUUUAUUUUAUAAGGAUUUUUAUAGACGUAAGCAGCUAAACUUUGAGGAAAUUGAACCUCUCUUAGUUUAUUUUUUUCAGCUUAUGAGUAACAGCAAAAAUUAAAACAAUAAAUGACAAACAUUAUAAUACAAUAAAAAAUUAGUGUCCUCCAAAGAACAGAUAGGUAAGGUACUCUUUUUUAAAAAGGAACUAAAGGGAGUCUAACAUACCUAAGAAUUAAAACAUGUUGCUAGUGCAUUUUAGCAUGCUAAUUGUUUUCUUUAAAUUGUAUUCAUGGGGUGCUAAUUUCCUAUUAAUAGAGGAGUUCAGUGUUAAAACAGAUAAUACAUUUAUAUUUUGAUUUUUUUCUUCAACCCAGGAGCAGAUUGCAUUCCAGACAAUAGUAUUACACAGCGAUUUUUAAAAAAUGCAGAUGCCAGUGUAGUUCGGUUUAGUUAAUUUUCCUGUAUCCAAUACUAUGUGAAAUAUUAGUACUUUUUUUUUUUUGCUUAUUUCUUUUCUCUUUGGUGUUGCUCAUAAGUUUCUUCUUCCCUCUCCUCUAUUUCUGUGUUUAGGUUGAGUUGAGGCAAUGUGUUUCACAGGUAAACCUGUAAUUUGUGACAAGGUGAUAAAACAUUAUUAUCUGAAGUGUAUUCUUAUAGAUACCCUUGGUAAAUGCUUAAAGGACCUGAACUCAUAGAAUUAGAGUCAGAAGGAACCCUAAAAAUAAUUUUCUAGGCAAUACCUAAAUUAUUGCAGAUGUGAUCUUCAAAGGGAAAGAUUAUAUAAUAUAGAAAGUCCCUUUCUAAAGUAUUGUAGAACUUUAUUUAUUGAUUUAUUUGCUUUCUUUCUCUUUCUUUCUGAUGCGGGGUCUCACUCUGUCACCCAGGCUAGAGUGCAGUGGCACGAUCAUGGCUCACUGCAGCCUUGACCUUCCCAGCUCAAGUGAUCCUCCUGCCCCAGCCUCUCGAGUAGCUGGGAAUACAGGUGCACACCACUACACCCAGCUAAUUUUUAAAUUUUUUGUGCAGAAGGGUCUCACUAUGUUGCCCAGGCUGGUCUUGAAUUCCUGGGCUCAAGCUGUUCUUGUGCUUUGGCCUCCCAAAGUGCUGAGAUUAUAAGUAUGAGCCACCACGCCAAGCCUACUGUAGAACUUUAAUAAUACUUAUUUUAAGAAUUCUCUGCAACAAAACAAAUACACACACACACACACACACACACACACACACACACACACAAUUUUUUACCGUGACAUAGCCUCAGGUCCUGAGAACAUGUGUCCCCCAAAUCUCUUUAGAUUGUAGCUUCUUAGGAUCUUCUUGCUCUGAGGAGACAGAACAGUUGCUGCUCUACCAUUUGUUUUUUACAUGCUUAGAAUAAAAUUAUGAUAUCUUCUUCAGACUUUUUAUAUACAGUUUCUUUCAUCUUUCCUUCUGAUUCUGUUUUCUCUAUUUUUAGCCUGUGAUUUCUUCUGAAAAUAUAAAUCCUCCAUGCUGCUUUCAGUUUGAGUAGUGCUUUGUAAUCUGUAAAGCAUUGUGCAAAUGUAAGUUAUUUUAUUAUUAUGAAGGUGGCAGACCCUUGAACUGUAUUUAUUUAUUUUUUAUUUUAUUUUAUUUUUAGGCAGUCUUGCUCUGUCACCCAGGCUGGAGUGCAAUGGCAUGAUCAUGGCUCACUGCAGCCUUGACAUCCCAGGCUCAAGUGAUCCUCCCAUCUCAGCCUCCUGAGUAACUGGGACUACAAGAAAGCACCACCAUACCUGGCUAAUGUUUUAAAUUUUUUGUAUAGAUGGGGUCUUGCUAUUUUGCCUAGGCUGGUCUUGAACUCUGGGGCUCAAGUGAUCCUCCCACCUUGGCUUCCCAAAGUGCCGGGAUUACAGACAUGAACUGUAUUCUUAUGAAAGAAGUCCAAUGCUUGUUUUUAAUGGUUCUUGGACAAUUGUCAUUGUUGCUGAAAAGUUUUAAGUCUGUGUUUUUAUACUCUAUGGUCCAUAUUUCAUCACUUUUCUAAUUCUUAUAACCAUUUUCUUUAAAUUCAGCUCUGCUGAACAUAUUGAAGUAAAGAAUGAAGAGCCAAAGAAAUGCACUACUUCAGUUUCUACAUCAGAAAGUAUUUUUAAGAUACAGACCUUUCUUGAGAAGUUAGAAAAAGUUUAUAAAUAGUUAAACAUUAGACUUUACUUUUAUUCAAAUUGCCUAUCAUCUAUUCCUUUUCAGUAUUUCAAAUGCAAUAAAAUUGAUAAUCAGAAAUACUUUUUUAGAAGUUACUUUUUUAUUUAUAUUUUUACAGAAAAAUAGUAGUCUAGUCAUUCAAGUGAAAGGUCCAAGAAAGGAAGAAAGAAAAAUUUAUCAAAAAGAAAACA